CGGGGCGCGGGCGACGAUCGUCAGGCGCGCGAUCGGCGCGCCUGAGGGGACGGUGAUGUCCAGCGCCCCGGGGUCGAUCCCCGGCGCCCCGGCCA
Molecule: transfer RNA, 95 nt
Filed under: Actinomyces denticolens
Lineage: Bacteria; Bacillati; Actinomycetota; Actinomycetes; Actinomycetales; Actinomycetaceae
Description: tRNA-Asp(atc)
Source: RNAcentral